This 2276-nucleotide long non-coding RNA is filed under the name Gallus gallus (chicken). Its description in RNAcentral is "lncRNA (ENSGALG00010016255.1)". The record is from RNAcentral. Lineage: Eukaryota; Metazoa; Chordata; Aves; Galliformes; Phasianidae.
CCCGGUCAGGCUGUCCCUGCGGGAAGCUGCUGCGGGGUGAGCUGGGGCUGAGUCAGCAGCGAGACGACCUCUGGCAGAGAAGUGCCGCCCAGGGACAGCCCUGUGGUGUCAAAGCGGUUUUUACACGGCUUCUUGUGGGGCGAGUUCUCUCCACGCGGUGAGGAGCACCAGUUCGCUGUGCUGUGCUCCGUUUGUCGUUUUCCUGAGAGGAAACAUGCGCACCGCAGCUCGUGCCAAGUGUGGCAGUGAUUUCUGCCAUAGUGUCGCCGUGGCAGCCGGACCAAGACUCCAACCACCCAUCCUCUGGUGGCAAUGGCACCUUGCCGGCAGGCUUGGACGCCAGGCCUGCUCAUUCGGCUCUGUCACUCAGCAGCAGCUCCCUCCAUCCUGCUGUCCCUGCUGCCCUCCUACCACCUCAUUACCUUCCAGCUAACCACCUCGUCAGUGGGCUGCAAUAGGACAGAAGUUUGAGCAGUGUGAUGCAAGCGAGCAGAGCUGCCCCAUGCCAGUGGCUCAGCCAUCCUGCUGCUAGGAUUGGGCUCGCCCACACAAGGCAUCUCAGCUUCAUUUUCAAAACAUUCCUCAAGAAGCUGUCUUCUCUCCUUGCCCUCAUAAAUGACAGCAGUUCCUGAAGUAAGAGGAGUGAGAGGAAAACUUCUGCAGAAGCUCUCUGACAGGACUUGCUCCUUUGCCUGUGAGCACACACUUUGUGAAAGCGAGUGUGGGUUUCCAGACCAAAAUGAGGAAUUUCUCUUUCACAACAGAGUCCUAUUGUAUCAAUAACAUGAAGGCACAUUACUCCAAACUGAACAUCACAGGGCAACUGCUUGAGGAAAAAAGAAAAAAUCAAUAUAUGAUGAAAAAGGCACCCAACUCCAGCACAGAAAGGAAAUGCUCAUUUCCAGUAUUCUGAGCUGCUCCUCGUGUCCCUCUAAAUCGCUGUUGUGAUAUUGUCAUUACUCUCCUAGCAUUAUGGUUUCCAAAGACAGUAUUUCCCUGAAUGACAAUGAGGAAGUUUUGCUGCUGCUGUACAAACUGUUAAUUGUUUUUCUGUCAUGCCUUGAGGCCUUGGUGAGGACUCCUUCCAUUGCACUUCGCUCCUAAGAAGAAUUCUGAAGAAGCAUUCCUGCUGCCUCAGGUGCUGCAUUCUCGUUCCCACUGCCCACAGGCAAAAGGGGAUUCAUGUUGGUGUGAAGGUGAAGAAAUCAGUGACACAUCAAUCUGGGAUGUCGGCUAUCUUGAGGUGCACAUCUACGUUUUUGAUGAAAUGCAGAACUUUAUUCUUUAGUAACAGGUGUGUCUGGGUGAAAUUCUAUACCCUUUGAAACAGGUAAGAACAAAGAAGUCUCAGCCACCACCCCCUAGGGUGGAGUUACAAGGUGCAUUCAUCAUCCUCAAUUACAGACAUAUUUGCAGAGGGCUGUGGCAUGACACCAUGAAAGAUGCACAACUAGCUGUUUAAAUCAUUGAAUAGAAACCUAAUUGGGAGGUAUGCAAGUAAGGAGUGAUGGAGUGAUACCUUACCCACCUUUCCUUGGCUUGCCUUUCCUUGAGUGCAUCACCAGUUUUGAGGAGACAGGAAGGCAUGAAUGAUUUUAGGGCUGAUAUUUCCCUCGCACCUCACCUAGUGGCUCUGCAGUAUGUGUUUCUGCAGAAGCCAUUCAGACUGGUCUGCUGGUCACUGCACAUGUGCUUGUGGCAGGCUGCAACCAGGAAGACAACACACUUUGCUUUACAUGAAGUAGCUGGCAGCUCCUGAGUUCGCACCAAAUCCAUACCUCUUUAUAACGCUUCUUGCCUGUCUUUCUUGCCUCAGUCUAAAAACACACAGUUUUUAGUGUGAAAGCUGUACAUGAUACAAUUUUGCUUAUGUUGCUUCAUUAGCAAAUAUUCUGUCCUAGCCACUCUUCCUGUGCCCGUGGACUUAGGUUUACAUUUGUGAGGAUUUAAAACUGGAAGUAUGUCCAUUUUCCAUCUUGAUUCAUGAAUUUUGCGGUCCUUUGUUUACUGCGAGGUGCACAAGGAGGGCUUCUGAAGAAAGGAGACAGGAAACAUAGUCCACAUGUGGCAACAAAGAGGCAGUUUUGGGGAGGUGGUGGUCAGAGAGAUGGGACAUUUCUGGGUGUCUAUCAUAGCCAAAUGACACAUUGUUUUCUGGUAUAAAGAAUAUUUUCAUAAUGAGCAGUGAAUUCAGUCUGGCUGCACCUACAGCCCCAAGAACAAACAGUCUAGAGGUCAGUUUGUCAAUAAAUACCAUCUGCUUAGCAGCAUGGAAU